GAUGAAGAACGCAGCGAAAUGCGAUACGUAAUGUGAAUUGCAGAAUUCAGUGAAUCAUCGAAUCUUUGAACGCAUAUUGCGCUCUCUGGUAUUCCGGAGAGCAUGCUUGUUUGAGUAUCAGUAAACACCUCAACUCCCUUUUCUUUUUUGAAAUUGGAGCUGGACUUGAGUGAUCCCAACGCUUUCUUCCAAGAAAGUGGCGGGUUGCUUGAAAUGCAGGUGCAGCUGAACUUUUCUGUGAGCUAUAAGCAUAUCUAUUUAGUCUGCCUAAAAAACAGAUUAUUACCUUUGCUGCAGCUAACAUAAAGGAGACUAGUUCUUGUGCUGACUGAUGCAGGAUUCACAGAGACAGCUUCGGCUGACUUUGUAAACUCGAUCUCAAAUCAAGUAAGACUACCCGCUGAACUUAAGCAUAUCAAUAAGCGGAGGA
Molecule: unclassified non-coding RNA, 430 nt
Filed under: soil metagenome
Description: partial contains 5.8S ribosomal RNA, internal transcribed spacer 2, and large subunit ribosomal RNA
Rfam family: 5.8S ribosomal RNA (bases 1-120)
Source: RNAcentral